Molecule: long non-coding RNA, 202 nt
Filed under: Mytilus galloprovincialis (Mediterranean mussel)
Lineage: Eukaryota; Metazoa; Mollusca; Bivalvia; Mytilida; Mytilidae
Source: RNAcentral
AUGGUCAUCUGAGGUCAAAUCGAUAGGUAAUUAGAUGGCGUCUGGACUAAAAUACACACGAAACGAACCUAUAUAUUAUCUACCCCAUGCUCUGUAACUGUUUAUUUUUUGAUAGUUUGGAUAAAUGUUUUACAUUGUUAUAAAUCAAAUAUGAGAAUUUGAGUCAAAUCGGUGACCAUGAAUUUGACAGCUAGUGCCCCUU